AGAGUUUGAUCCUGGCUCAGAACGAACGCUGGCGGCGUGCUUAACACAUGCAAGUCGCGUGCGCAGUUGCCGUAGCAAUACGGUGAUGGGCGCACGGCGCACGGGUGCGUAACACGUGGGCAAUCUGCCCUUUGAUGGGGAAUAACCCGCCGAAAGGCGGGCUAAUUCCGCAUAAGAUUCCCUGGACUUCGGUCUGGGGAUUGAAAGCAGCAAUGCGUCGAAGGAGGAGCCCGCGCCCGAUUAGCUAGUUGGUGAGGUAACGGCUCACCAAGGCAAUGAUCGGUAGCUGGUCUGAGAGGAUGAUCAGCCACACUGGAACUGAGACACGGUCCAGACUCCUACGGGAGGCAGCAGUGGGGAAUCUUGCACAAUGGGCGAAAGCCUGAUGCAGCGACGCCGCGUGGGGGAUGAAGCAUUUCGGUGUGUAAACCCCUUUCGACUGGGAAGAAUACCUCGCAAGAGGGGUGACGGUACCAGUAGAAGAAGCCCCGGCUAACUACGUGCCAGCAGCCGCGGUAAGACGUAGGGGGCCAGCGUUGUUCGGAAUUACUGGGUGUAAAGGGUUCGUAGGCGGUGCGGCAAGUUGGGAGUGAAAUCUCUGGGCUUAACCCAGAGGCUGCUUCCAAAACUGCUGUGCUCGAGUGUGAGAGAGGCUCGUGGAAUUGCAGGUGUAGCGGUGAAAUGCGUAGAUAUCUGCAGGAACACCCGUGGCGAAAGCGGCGAGCUGGAUCACUACUGACGCUGAGGAACGAAAGCUAGGGGAGCAAACAGGAUUAGAUACCCUGGUAGUCCUAGCCCUAAACGAUCAGGACUUGGGGUGCCGCCCGUUCGGGCGUCGUCCCGGAGCUAACGCGUUAAGUCCUGCACCUGGGGAGUACGGUCGCAAGACUGAAACUCAAAGGAAUUGACGGGGGCCCGCACAAGCGGUGGAACAUGUGGUUCAAUUCGACGCUACGCGAGGAACCUUACCUGGGCUCGAAAUGC
This 984-nucleotide ribosomal RNA is filed under the name uncultured bacterium. RNAcentral's name for it is "bacterial SSU rRNA". It matches the Rfam family "Bacterial small subunit ribosomal RNA", at positions 8 to 989 of the family's 1533-position model. The record is from RNAcentral.